Molecule: ribosomal RNA, 254 nt
Filed under: uncultured bacterium
Lineage: Bacteria
Description: partial 16S ribosomal RNA
Rfam family: Bacterial small subunit ribosomal RNA
Source: RNAcentral
GACGGAGGAUGCAAGUGUUAUCCGGAAUCACUGGGCGUAAAGCGUCUGUAGGUGGUUCGAAAAGUCCACUGUUAAAAAUUGAGGCUUAACUUCAAAGAUGCCGUGGAAACUUUCAAACUAGAGUAUGGUAGGGGUAGAGGGAAUUUCCAGUGGAGCGGUGAAAUGCGUAGAUAUUGGAAAGACCACCGAUGGCGAAGGCACUCUACUGGGCUAUUACUGACACUGAGAGACGAAAGCUAGGGGGAGCAAAUGGG